Long non-coding RNA from Etheostoma cragini (Arkansas darter), 523 nucleotides. RefSeq lists it as uncharacterized. The record is from RefSeq and is a predicted model, not a curated record. The transcript is spliced from 3 exons. Lineage: Eukaryota; Metazoa; Chordata; Actinopteri; Perciformes; Percidae.
AUUUUCAGCCCAUGCAAUGUUCUGCAGGGGAAAGGAAACUGCAAACUACAUUUGGUCAGAGCAUCCUUCCUACGUAUUUAGAUGACAGUGUCUGAUAAACGUGAAACAAAUCCCAUUGGUUGAGUUUAUAUCACAAAGAGCCUUCUCUGUGUUUGUUCAAGCAAACCAUUCAACCAUCUUUCUAAAUGGAGUUGAUUAUUGUUCUUGUUUACUUGAUAGGUUUUAAAUCUUUUCCACCUGUGUUGUGUAGCUACACCAGAAUGAUCCACAUUCCUUUUUUUUGUUUUAGUUUGCCUGCUGGACUCAGAGUGUCAUCUACUCUUCGGAUUCUGGACAUGCGUCCGGACUGCAACCAAGAGGGUCUUGCCAACUGCAAAAUUAACAACUGCUCAGAGAAGCGCAUGGUCGUACCUAGAAUUGAUGCUCCUGUCGGCCCAGAAUGGGUUGGUGAGCAUGUGGGAGUCUGGAUGGACAAACAAGGGCCUGUUUCUGUUAUGAAUGUGACGUGGAAAAUAAGAUCUGA